Molecule: ribosomal RNA, 617 nt
Filed under: uncultured archaeon
Lineage: Archaea
Description: bacterial SSU rRNA
Rfam family: Archaeal small subunit ribosomal RNA
Source: RNAcentral
UCAGGUUGAUCCUGCCGGACCUGACUGCUAUCUGAUUGGUACUAAGCCAUGCGAGCCGUUGUACACACAAGGCGGACUGCUCAGUACACGUAGUUAACUUAACCUAUGGAUGGGCAUAACCUCGGGAAACUGAGAAUAAUACCCAAUGGACCACAGUGCCUGGAAUGGCCUGUGGUUGAAAUGAUUUAUCGCCGUAGGAUAGGACUGCGGCCUAUCAGCUUGUUGGUGAGGUAAUGGCCCACCAAGGCUAUAACAGGUACGGGCUCUGAGAGGAGGGGCCCGGAGAUGGGUACUGAGACACGGACCCAGGCCCUAUGGGGCGCAGCAGGCGAGAAACCUUUGCAAUGUGCGAAAGCACGACAAGGUUAAUCCGAGUGUCUCCUGCUAAAGGAGUCUUUUGUCAGUUGUAGAAUCACUGGUGAAUAAGGGGUGGGCAAGUUCUGUGUCAGCCGCCGCGGUAAAACCAGCACCUCGAGUGGUCAGGAGGUUUAUUGGGCCUAAAGCAUCCGUAGCCGGUUGCAUAAGUUUUCGGUUAAAUCUAUGCGCUUAACGUAUAGGCCGCCGAAAAUACUGUACAGCUAGGGAGUGGGAGAGGUACACGGUACUCGAUAGGAAGG